This 442-nucleotide ribosomal RNA is filed under the name uncultured rumen protozoa. RNAcentral's name for it is "partial 18S ribosomal RNA". The record is from RNAcentral.
AGGAGUUAGAAAAAAACGCGGGUGGACUAGAUUAAAUGGAAUGGAUCAAUAAAACAGUUAUAGUUUAUUUGAUACUUAAUGGAUUCUGUUCCAAAACUAGAGCUAAUACAUGCCAAAGCCUCACGGUUGUAUUUAUUAGAUAUUCCAAUUAGGUGAAUCAUAAUAACUUCGCAAAUCUCGGUUUUGCCGAGAUAAAUCAUCCAAGUUUCUGCCCUAUCACGCUUUCGUUGGUAACGAACGAGACCUUAACCUGCUAACUAGAUUCAUCAGUAUUACUUUUGACACCCCCCCAAGAGGGACUAAAACUGCGAAUGGCUCAUUAAAACAGUUAUAGUGGCAUUUGAUACAACAAAUGGAUAACUGUAGAAAAACUAGAGCUAAUACAUGCUUUAAUCGUAAGAUUGUACUUAUUAGAUAUUCUGAAUUGGUGAAUCAUAAUAAC